AGGGAAAUAGCUCAGUGGUAGAGCUCAUGCUUAGCAGGCAUGAGGUCCUGGGUUCAAUCCCCAGUACCUCUA
This 72-nucleotide transfer RNA is filed under the name Camelus bactrianus (Bactrian camel). It matches the Rfam family "tRNA". From Rfam's summary of the family: Transfer RNA (tRNA) molecules are approximately 80 nucleotides in length. Lineage: Eukaryota; Metazoa; Chordata; Mammalia; Artiodactyla; Camelidae. RNAcentral also lists the same sequence under 2 other names. The record is from Rfam by way of RNAcentral.